This 468-nucleotide ribosomal RNA is filed under the name uncultured bacterium. Its description in RNAcentral is "partial 16S ribosomal RNA". It matches the Rfam family "Bacterial small subunit ribosomal RNA", at positions 28 to 523 of the family's 1533-position model. The record is from RNAcentral.
GACGAACGCUGGCGGCGUGCUUAACACAUGCAAGUCGAGCGAUCUUCUUCGGAAGAGAGCGGCGGACGGGUGAGUAACGCGUGGGUAACCUGCCCUGUACACACGGAUAACAUACCGAAAGGUAUGCUAAUACGAGAUAAUAUGCUUUUAUCGCAUGGUAGAAGUAUCAAAGCUCCGGCGGUACAGGAUGGACCCGCGUCUGAUUAGCUAGUUGGUAAGGUAACGGCUUACCAAGGCGACGAUCAGUAGCCGACCUGAGAGGGUGAUCGGCCACAUUGGAACUGAGACACGGUCCAAACUCCUACGGGAGGCAGCAGUGGGGAAUAUUGCACAAUGGGCGAAAGCCUGAUGCAGCAACGCCGCGUGAGCGAUGAAGGCCUUCGGGUCGUAAAGCUCUGUCCUCAAGGAAGAUAAUGACGGUACUUGAGGAGGAAGCCCCGGCUAACUACGUGCCAGCCGCCGCGGUAA